This 253-nucleotide ribosomal RNA is filed under the name uncultured bacterium. Its description in RNAcentral is "partial 16S ribosomal RNA". It matches the Rfam family "Bacterial small subunit ribosomal RNA", at positions 524 to 776 of the family's 1533-position model. The record is from RNAcentral.
UACGAGGGGGGCAAAUGUUGUUCGGAAUCACUGGGCGUAAAGGGAGCGUAGGCGGGAAUUUAAGUUGGGAGUUUAAUUCCGGGGCCUAACCCCGGGGGGGCUCCCAAAACUGGGUUUCUUGAAUGGGACAGAGGCCAGUGGAAUUGGAGGUGUAGCGGUGGAAUGCGUAGAGAUCUCCAAGAACACCAGUUGCGAAGGCGGCUGGCUGGGUCCACAUUGACGCUGAGGCUCGAAAGCGUGGGGAGCAAACAGG